RNAcentral lists this ribosomal RNA (437 nucleotides) under uncultured Clostridium sp. RNAcentral's name for it is "partial 16S ribosomal RNA". It matches the Rfam family "Bacterial small subunit ribosomal RNA", at positions 341 to 792 of the family's 1533-position model. The record is from RNAcentral. Lineage: Bacteria; Bacillati; Bacillota; Clostridia; Eubacteriales; Clostridiaceae.
ACGGGAGGCAGCAGUGGGGAAUAUUGGGCAAUGGGCGAAAGCCUGACCCAGCAACGCCGCGUGAAGGAAGAAGGCCUUCGGGUUGUAAACUUCUUUUGUCAGGGACGAAGGACGUGACGGUACCUGACGAAUAAGCAACGGCUAACUACGUGCCAGCAGCCGCGGUAAUACGUAGGUGGCAAGCGUUGUCCGGAAUUACUGGGUGUAAAGGGAGCGCAGGCGGGACUGCAAGUUGGAUGUGAAAUACCGGAGCUCAACUCCGGGGCUGCAUCCAAAACUGUAGUUCUUGAGUGGAGUAGAGGUAAGCGGAAUUCCGAGUGUAGCGGUGAAAUGCGUAGAUAUUCGGAGGAACACCAGUGGCGAAGGCGGCUUACUGGGCUCUAACUGACGCUGAGGCUCGAAAGCGUGGGGAGCAAACAGGAUUAGAUACCCUGGUA